UUCAUUUUAUUUUGUUCAGAUAAAUAAAUUUUGCUGCAGCGGACGAUAGCAAACGAACUUUGCGUAGACGCGGAUGUCGAAUAACGCAUUUGGAAUAUUUACAAUAUAAUUAAUGUAUACGUAUUAUUAAAGUAAAAAAUCACAUUGAGUUACUAUAUAAUAGUUAAAAGAACGGAGUUUAGUUUUUGUUAUUUAUAUCGCACAUCGAUGCGCCUCAAAGAAUCAGUGUCGCCAUCGGCUGGUCGGCUCGUGGAAUCAUACUCGUACGCCACAUCGGUACAUCUUCUGACAACUUUUUAUUGGGUUAUGAACGUACAUCGACUAUUUUAAAUUUUACAUUUAAUUUGCCGCGUGUGAAAGUACAAUUAUAAUAAUCUAAAUAAUUAAAGUUCUCUCCCCACUUACAUUUUGCAAUCGUAAUGUUUUAACGUCCCACAAGCAUGAAGAUUGGAAAGAAGAAAAUAUCAGUCCUAUCAGUCCUUCGACGUCUUUUAAGUGAAUUAUAAUAUUGAAUAUGUAAGGCUCGUAAUGUAACGCGGAAAGGUAAAAAGAGGAAUGCUUUAUUAAGAAAUGCGACGUGUUCUGACUGCAUUUGCAAUUGCUAUUACAGAUGAUAGCCUCGAGCGGGGGGAAUUUUUCUGCGAGGGUAUUCGCACGGCCGUUCAGUCUGAUUUGUAAAUUUAAAAAGAGAUGGUUCGAAUCAAGCGCGCGCGAUCACGGCGGGACGCAGUUGACUCAGACGAAUAUCUUCGUGCAAGAAGGCGCGUGCAUACGAGAAGUUCCCUUGAUAGUCAAGAGGAUCACCAACAUCGACGCUCUCCUCGAUAAGCCAAUCCUCGAUAAGCCAAUCCGGAGGAGCGUUAAAUCGUCCAAUAAAAAUAAGAAAUCCGCGAUAAUUCCUAAGGAGAAUGCCCCUUAUUCCAUUGGCACGAUUGGCGCGAUGAAGAACGGCCCUUUAAAGCAUACUAUCAGCAUAGAGACCGACGAAGGUACAGCGAUACUUUAUUGCUCCGAUAUCGAGCGUUUGAAAAAUACGGACGUGGAACAGGUUCUGAAUGCGAUAAACUCGGGGAACGCGGGCAAAGGAGUUUAUUCCCUGUUGGAGAAUAGGAUCGCCGACGAGAUAAAUUGUCGAAUAGCGCUUCAAAGUUUGAGAAAGAUGAUAGAAUUGGAAAGCGGGUGGCAUCGAUACCGGAAGACAUCGUCGAACGCUCAAUCUUCCGCGGAGGUCAUCAAUAGAAACGUCAUUUUGCAGCAACUUGUAAAUCUGAUUGCCAAAAGCCAAGAUAGCGAGACGAUAUUACAAGGACUAAAGGCACUGAAGAGAGACCGAUCUAAUCCUUCGGCAAAUGUUUAUAAAGACCGGAUAUGCAACGAAGUCAUGAUUAAAGCCACGGACGGCGAGCUCACCGUGUCGCAAUUAAUCAGAGCGGUAAAAAUCUUGGCCAAUUACGGAAACUCCAAGUACAGAAACUGCAUCGACACGUUGUGGGUAGGUUUGGCGUGCAGGGAACAGGAUAUUAAACCAGAUCUACUGGUUCCAUUAUUCAGAUCACUGAAAUACUUCCAACGAAGUAAGAGCAUGGUGCAGAUCAUUUUGGAAAAGAAACUGUCGGAGCAGUGGUUGAAGUUGACCGGCUCGCAGAUAGCCAGUAUACUGAAUUGUCUUCAAGGGAUGGAGUCCUCGAAGGGAUGUCUGUCGAGCGCCAGUAAGUGGGCAAGCGUGAGCAUGACCACUUCCAAAGAGAAAGACUUCGUCAAUUUUAUUGGAGGUUUGCACACGAAGAAAUACGUCGACGAGAAUAUAGAACAGGCGUUGGCGAGAUAUGUAACGGCCAAAGGUACCGAGAUGAAGAAUCCUAAUUUAAUCGCCUCUAUCACGAAUUACUGUAAAGAUCUACGAGUUAGAAAUCCAUAUAUUCUUGCGGAAUGUGGAAAAUAUUUUAUAAGACAAGGAAUGGAAAUUCCGCCUACGUUGUUGUCCCCCAUUCUCACACCAUUCGGAUUGCUGAAUCUACAACCACCGGAUUCGAGCGAGUUUUGGAAGACGUUCGACGAGGUGAUGUCCGUGAGAUUCUCAGAUUUGAAGCUGAACGACGCCUUGGACAUUUUUCUCUCCUGCACGUAUCUCGAGAGAUAUCCCAUUAAGCUUUUAGACAAAGUUUUCAGUUCGUACCUUAUGAAUAGGUUGCAAACGCAAAGAGACGCGCCUAUUGUCAAUCGAUUGAAAGAUAAAUUGAAAUUAUUCGACGCGGCCAUGUCGUUAGAAUGCAAAGACUAUCGUGGGAGCCCGAUCAAUUUAGACAGAAACACAAAGUCGUUAGGCUUGGACAUGAGAAUUAGGGGUAUUGUUAAUCAAAUAUACAAACCACUGGCGCACUUGGUAGGCGGCGAGCACAAGUUGAGCAGAAGCGUGGUUUUAAGCAAGUUGCCCCUCAUAAAUUUCUAUAUUUUAGAUGUUCUGAUACACCCGCUUUUAAAGUCUACACCGGUUUUCAACUUAAAUCUGCAUAAAAAAAGAAACGUCAAUACCGCGAUUCUAAUCUACUUGCCCGAAUACUAUUGCUGGAACACGCGGCUGCUAACGGGACCGCAGGUGAUGAGGAAACGUCAAGUUAGGAAAUUGGGUUUCCGAGUUGCAUGUCUAGAUUACGCGAAACUGGCAGAACUCGUAGAUCAUGACGACAAAUUGCUGUCUUAUCUGUCGCAAAGUCUGGAUAUCGCCGAAGAUGCUUUAUAAAUUGUUCCGCGUAGGAUAUACGUAUUUUACGAAUGUGCAAAUUUACGAAUGAAGCUGCAGUGAAACGCAAUUCCGGGUGAUAAAGUCUCCUGAAGAAAUUGAGGUAUUGCGGUAUGUGUGCAAGAUAAGUUCGGAGGCGCACAAGACCAUAAUGCGCUCUAUGUGCCCUGGGAUUUCGGAAUACAAAGCAGAAGCCUCGUUUUUACAUUACAUAUACUCCGUGGGAGGGUGCAGGCACGUGUCUUACACGUGUAUUUGUGGAUCCGGACAUAA
Solenopsis invicta (red fire ant) is the source of this 3013-nucleotide RNA transcript. It is a transcript of the gene named xaa-Pro dipeptidase, with no coding region annotated. The record is from RefSeq and is a predicted model, not a curated record. The transcript has 2 exons. NCBI's taxonomy places the organism in Eukaryota, Metazoa, Arthropoda, Insecta, Hymenoptera, Formicidae.